AUGACGUCAAGUCAUCAUGGCCCUUACGGCCUGGGCCACACACGUGCUACAAUGGUCGGUACAGAGGGUUGCCAAGCCGCGAGGUGGAGCUAAUCCCAUAAAACCGAUCGUAGUCCGGAUCGCAGUCUGCAACUCGACUGCGUGAAGUCGGAAUCGCUAGUAAUCGCGAAUCAGAAUGUCGCGGUGAAUACGUUCCCGGGCCUU
This 204-nucleotide ribosomal RNA is filed under the name uncultured Pseudomonas sp. RNAcentral's name for it is "partial 16S ribosomal RNA". It matches the Rfam family "Bacterial small subunit ribosomal RNA", at positions 1179 to 1382 of the family's 1533-position model. The record is from RNAcentral. Lineage: Bacteria; Pseudomonadati; Pseudomonadota; Gammaproteobacteria; Pseudomonadales; Pseudomonadaceae.